Non-coding RNA from Callithrix jacchus (white-tufted-ear marmoset), 2172 nucleotides. Lineage: Eukaryota; Metazoa; Chordata; Mammalia; Primates; Cebidae. The record is from RefSeq and is a predicted model, not a curated record.
GGCCGCUUCUGCCUAAAACGGAAUACCGUUGGUAAAGAUUUACUUGAACACAAAGGGCAAGCUCUAAAGCUCUAUGGCCUUUGUCAGGAAUGCGUCCUCUCUGUAAAAGAAAGGAGUUAAAACAGGGUGAUCAGAAGAGUAAUAGGUCUGUAAGAGACACACUGAACAAUCUAAUAAUUCCCUCGCUGCCAUGCACACAGUACAGUGUGAUGAGUGAUUUUGCUACGUCUACGCUAAUGAAGAAUUGAGAGUUGCUGAAUUCCCAAGUGCUCUGCAUUCCUCUGAUGCUCCUGGACAGCCAAGGUGCUGACAAGCUUUGGCCAGUAGGCUGCUUUCUGGCAUCCAAGGUCACCUCAUUAUGGCUCUGUGUGAAGACAGCACCCCAAAGGGGCCAUUGAUUUGGAACAUCUGAUCGGCUUUCUGAGUCAGAACCACUAGCUCGUAAAAUCCAAUAAAUGUCAAAGAUAUGUCAGGCCCAUUAACCUCUGGAGGUCUAUUAAAAGACUCUGCUUCUGCUUAGGAGAUUCUGUUACUGUCACAUGGACACCAGGACAGCCAAUUCUAAACCCCUGAAUUUAGAAAGUUAGGAAGGAGAUACGAUUUCACAUGGGAUCGCCUGGUCUCUACUGGUUUUGUCAUAAGACUCUGCCCUUUCUUCCACUCAGACAUACAGAGUAUCUGUUGGCGUGACCAGCUCUGUGACAAGUAUGCUGGGGAAACAUUCUAGAACGUCUUUUCCUGCCUCCAAGAAAAUGAACCCAAACCCUCUUCAUAAUACUGCAUGUACAUUUCUUCUGUACAGUCUCAUACAGCACUGAAGCGUUAUUGUUUGCUUGCACCUGAGUCCUCUCUAUUAGACUUUGACUUCCUUCAGAACUGAGUGUCAUGAUUUCCUGGUACGAAUCAAGAGAAACCCUAAUAUAAAUUAUUACAGGAAAAAAUAAACCUGCUUAACACAUAAAAUCAAAAAGUCUAAAGGUAAAGUUGGACUCAGGGACCCCAAAGGUGUUAUCAGGAGUCUCACCUCCAUCUUGUGGCUCUGCAUUCCUCUGCGUUGGUUUCAUCUGCAGGCAAGCCCUCCCCAGCCAUGGCAAGAUGGGAACUGUAGAUCCACAUGAUGGCAAGCCUACCUUCAGCAGCUCCAGGCAUCCUGCUGCCAGCCUAACACCCCUGUGAGAAAGCGUUUUUAUUUUCCAAUAGGGCCAGUGGAUCUCCCAGGCUAAUUCUUGCUGGCCCAGCAUGGAUCCAGUUGCCAGUUCCAGGGCAUUCUUUUUGCAAAACAGUUACCAUAUUGUGUUGUAAUUCCUGCUUUACUUGCUAGUUUUCCAUUCAGAACUGUAAGUUGAAUGAUGGUUAAAACCAAUUCCAUCUUCCUAGAGCCUAGUGUAAGACCUGGCACCCAAUAGGUGCAAAAGGCAGCCACUCCCAAGGCCCUGCCGAGGGCUGCCAGGGCUGUAGGUUGACACAAGGCUACCAGAUCCUUCAAUAUUGCAAAAGCACCAAGUAUUCUAAGUCCCCAGUUUUGGGAAGAAGGCAGGUGGGGAAGACACUUGCAUGCCAAAUCUGACCUGUGUGGGGGAGGAAUUAAUGAAACUAACACUGUCAAAGGUCUCCUGUGCAUUAUGCACUGUGGAAGUCCAUUUGUACAACAUCAUGUUUCCAAAGUGGUUGCAAAAACAUCCCCAGCCUCACAUGUUCUUUUGUGAGGAGACUCCUCUGCCAUGGCUAUAUCAGGAGGUAGAGUCCAUUAUGUCCUCUUCUGGAAUCCUUAAGGAUUCCAAGGAUUGUGAGUGCUCAUACAGCACUCACACCUGUUACAAGCAAUAGACUAUGAUAGAGGUGACACUGGGUAACUUCUAAAGGUGAGCCUUUGGAGAGAUGCAGCUUCCAUCUUUGCCUCUUGGAAUACCCCUCAGUGCCAUGUCAUGAGGAAGCACAAGCAGCCAUGUGGAGAGGCAAGGAGGAGAAGUCAGGCUCCUAAGUGACAGCUCCAGCUGAGCUCCCAACUGGCAACCAGAGCCAACCGCCAGCCAAGUGAUCAAGGACAUUUGGACUUUCCAGCUUUUCCAAGGCCCCCAUUGGCACCAUGUGAUACAAACCCAGGCAACUGACAAAACCACAAAACAUCAUAAUUAUUAACUAUAAUAAUAAUUUUAAAAAUAUCAUUUUCUU